RNAcentral lists this ribosomal RNA (292 nucleotides) under uncultured bacterium. RNAcentral describes it as "partial 16S ribosomal RNA". The record is from RNAcentral.
GGACUACUGGGGUUUCUAAUCCCGUUCGCUCCCCAUGCUGUCGUGUCUGAGCGUCGGUUGCGAGCCAGGGCGCCGCCUUCGCCUCUGGGGUUCCUCCGGAUCUCUACGCAUUUCACCACUACACCCGGAAUUCCACGCCCCUCUCUCGCACCCCAGACGGUCAGUCUGGCAUAACGCAGCCCGGUUAAGCCGGGCCAUUUCAUACACCACUUGACCGCCCGCCUGCACACCCUUUACGCCCAGUAAAUCCGGAUAACGCUCGCCACCUACGUUUUACCGCGGCGGCUGGCAC